UGGGGAAUAUUGCGCAAUGGGCGAAAGCCUGACGCAGCAACACCGCGUGAGGGAUGACGGCCUUCGGGUUGUAAACCUCUUUCAGCUCCGACGAAGCGAAAGUGACGGUAGGAGCAGAAGAAGCACCGGCUAACUACGUGCCAGCAGCCGCGGUAAUACGUAGGGUGCAAGCGUUGUCCGGAAUUAUUGGGCGUAAAGAGCUCGUAGGCGGUUCGGUAAGUCGGGUGUGAAAACUCUGGGCUCAACCCAGAGAGGCCACUCGAUACUGCUGUGACUAGAGUGCGGUAGGGGAGCGGGGAAUUCCUGGUGUAGCGGUGAAAUGCGCAGAUAUCGAGGAGGAACACCAGUGGCGAAGGCGCCGCUCUGGGCCGUAACUGACGCUGAGGAGCGAAA
This 393-nucleotide ribosomal RNA is filed under the name uncultured bacterium. Its description in RNAcentral is "bacterial SSU rRNA". It matches the Rfam family "Bacterial small subunit ribosomal RNA", at positions 355 to 758 of the family's 1533-position model. The record is from RNAcentral.